Molecule: ribosomal RNA, 422 nt
Filed under: uncultured bacterium
Lineage: Bacteria
Description: partial 16S ribosomal RNA
Rfam family: Bacterial small subunit ribosomal RNA
Source: RNAcentral
AAUAUUAGACAAUGGGGGCAACCCUGAUCCAGCCAUGAUGCGUGUGUGAAGAAGGUAUUCGGAUUGUAUAGCACUUUAUGUUGGGAGGAAGGGCUUUAGGUUAAUAACCUGAAGUAUUGACGUUACAAACAGAAUAAGCACCGGCCAGUUCUGUGCAAGCAGCCGCGGUAAUACAGAGGGUGCAAGCGUUAAUAGGACUUACUGGGCGUAAAGCGAGCGUAGGUGGUUCAGUAAGAUGGGUGUAAAAUCCCCGGGCUUAAACUGGGAACUGAUUUCAUAACUGCUAGGCUAGAUUACGGUAGAGGGUAGUGGAAUUUCCGGUGUAGCGGUGAAAUGCGUAGAUAUAGGAAGGAACACCAGUGGCGAAGGCGACUACCUGGACUGAUACUGAAACUGAGGUGCGAAAGCGUGGGGAGCAAACA